GAUGAACGCUGGCGGCGUGCCUAAUACAUGCAAGUCGAGCGAACAGACGAGGCGCUUGCUCCUCUGACGUUAGCGGCGGACGGGGGAGUAACACGUGGAUAACCUACCUAUAAGACUGGAAUAACUGCGGGAAACCGGAGCUAAUACCGGAUAAUAUCUUGAAACGCAUUGUUCAAUAUUGAAAGACGGUUUUGCUGUCACUUAUAGAUGGAUCCGCGCCGCAUUAGCUAGUUGGUAAGGUAACGGCUUACCAAGGCAACGAUGCGUAGCCGACCUGAGAGGGUGAUCGGCCACACUGGGACUGAGACACGGCCCAGACUCCUACGGGAGGCAGCAGUAGGGAAUCUUCGGCAAUGGACGAAAGUUUGACGGAGCAACGCCGCGUGAGUGAAGAAGGUUUUCGGAUCGUAAAACUCUGUUAUUAGGGAAGAACAAAGGUGUAAGUAACUAUGCACGCCUUGACGGUAUCUAACCAGAAAGCCACGGCUAACUACGUG
RNAcentral lists this ribosomal RNA (497 nucleotides) under uncultured bacterium. RNAcentral describes it as "partial 16S ribosomal RNA". It matches the Rfam family "Bacterial small subunit ribosomal RNA", at positions 28 to 507 of the family's 1533-position model. The record is from RNAcentral.